This 1014-nucleotide ribosomal RNA is filed under the name uncultured bacterium. RNAcentral's name for it is "bacterial SSU rRNA". It matches the Rfam family "Bacterial small subunit ribosomal RNA", at positions 63 to 1125 of the family's 1533-position model. The record is from RNAcentral.
CGAGCGGCCCGCAGGGCAGCGGCAAACGGGUGAGUAACACGUUGGUACCUUCCUCGAAUUCAGGGAUACCUCUGAGAAAUCAGAGUUAAUACCGGAUGGUCCCGAAAGGGUAAAGAUUUAUCGAUUCGAGAGGGGCCUGCGGCCUAUCAGCUAGUUGGUAAGGUAACGGCUUACCAAGGCGAUGACGGGUAGCUGGUCUGAGAGGAUGAUCAGCCACAGGGGAACUGAGACACGGUCCCCACUCCUACGGGAGGCAGCAGUAGGGAAUCUUCCACAAUGGACGAAAGUCUGAUGGAGCAACACUGCGUGAAGGAUGAAAGUCGUAAGAUUGUAAACUUCUUUUCUGAGGGAAAAAUUCUGAUUGUACCUCAGGAAUAAGCGACUGCUAACUACGUGCCAGCAGCAGCGGUAAUACGUAGGUCGCAAGCGUUAUCCGGAAUUAUUGGGCGUAAAGCGUCCGCAGGUGGCGAAUUAAGUUGGAUGUUAAAUAUCUUGGCCCAACCAAGAUGCCGCAUCCAAAACUGGUUUGCUUGAGAAGUGCAGAGGCAAGUGGAAUUCUGUGUGUAGGGGUAAAAUCCGUUGAUACACAGAGGAACACCAAAAGCGAAGGCAGCUUGCUGGGCACUUUCUGACACUCAUGGACGAAAGCGUAGGUAGCAAACAGGAUUAGAUACCCUGGUAGUCUACGCUGUAAACUUUGGAUACUAGGUGUUGGAGGACUCGAUCCUUCCAGCGCCGACGCUAACGCAUUAAGUAUCCCGCCUGGGAAGUACGGUCGCAAGACUAAAACUCAAAGGAAUAGACGGGGACCCACACAAGCGGUGGAGCACCUGGUUUAAUUCGAUAGUGAGCGAGGAACCUUACCUAGGCUUGACAUCCCGAGAAUCCGCCAGAAACGGUGGAGUGCCUUUUGGAACUCGGAGACAGGCGCUGCAUGGUUGUCGUCAGCUCGUGCCUUGAGGUGUUCGGUUAAGUCCGUAAACGAGCGCACCCCUGUGCUAUGUUGUAUUUUUC